AACGAACGCUGGCGGCAGGCCUAACACAUGCAAGUCGAACGAACCGUUUACGGUGAGUGGCGCACGGGUGAGUAACACGUGGGAAUAUACAUUUCGGUAAGGAAUAACGUUGAGAAAUUUACGCUAAUACCUUAUAAUGACUACGGUCCAAAGAUUUAUCGCCGAAGGAUUAGCCCGCGUUAGAUUAGGUAGUUGGUAGGGUAAUGGCCUACCAAGCCUACGAUCUAUAGCUGGUCUUAGAGGAUGAUCAGCCACACUGGAACUGAGACACGGUCCAGACUCUUACGGGAGGCAGCAGUGAGGAGUAUUGCGCAAUGGGGGAAACCCUGACGCAGCCAUGCCGCGUGAGUGACGAAGGCCUUAGGGUUGUAAAGCUCUUUCAGAUGUAAAGAUAAUGACGGUAACAUCAGAAGAAGCUCCGGCUAAAUUCGUGCCAGCCGCCGCUGUAA
RNAcentral lists this ribosomal RNA (449 nucleotides) under uncultured bacterium. Its description in RNAcentral is "partial 16S ribosomal RNA". It matches the Rfam family "Bacterial small subunit ribosomal RNA", at positions 29 to 523 of the family's 1533-position model. The record is from RNAcentral.